GAUGAACGCUGGCGGCGUGCCUAAUACAUGCAAGUCGAGCGAACGGACGAGAAGCUUGCUUCUCUGAUGUUAGCGGCGGACGGGUGAGUAACACGUGGAUAACCUACCUAUAAGACUGGGAUAACUUCGGGAAACCGGAGCUAAUACCGGAUAAUAUUUUGAACCGCAUGGUUCAAAAGUGAAAGACGGUCUUGCUGUCACUUAUAGAUGGAUCCGCGCUGCAUUAGCUAGUUGGUAUGGUAACGGCUUACCAAGGCAACGAUGCAUAGCCGACCUGAGAGGGUGAUCGGCCACACUGGAACUGAGACACGGUCCAGACUCCUACGGGAGGCAGCAGUAGGGAAUCUUCCGCAAUGGGCGAAAGCCUGACGGAGCAACGCCGCGUGAGUGAUGAAGGUCUUCGGAUCGUAAAACUCUGUUAUUAGGGAAGAACAUAUGUGUAAGUAACUGUGCACAUCUUGACGGUACCUAAUCAGAAAGCCACGGCUAACUACGUGCCAGCAGCCGCGGUAAUACGUAGGUGGCAAGCGUUAUCCGGAAUUAUUGGGCGUAAAGCGCGCGUAGGCGGUUUUUUAAGUCUGAUGUGAAAGCCCACGGCUCAACCGUGGAGGGUCAUUGGAAACUGGAAAACUUGAGUGCAGAAGAGGAAAGUGGAAUUCCAUGUGUAGCGGUGAAAUGCGCAGAGAUAUGGAGGAACACCAGUGGCGAAGGCGACUUUCUGGUCUGUAACAGACGCUGAUGUGCGAAAGCGUGGGGAUCAAACAGGAUUAGAUACCCUGGUAGUCCACGCCGUAAACGAUGAGUGCUAAGUGUUAGGGGGUUUCCGCCCCUUAGUGCUGCAGCUAACGCAUUAAGCACUCCGCCUGGGGAGUACGACCGCAAGGUUGAAACUCAAAGGAAUUGACGGGGACCCGCACAAGCGGUGGAGCAUGUGGUUUAAUUCGAAGCAACGCGAAGAACCUUACCAAAUCUUGACAUCCUUUGACAACUCUAGAGAUAGAGCCUUCCCCUUCGGGGGACAAAGUGACAGGUGGUGCAUGGUUGUCGUCAGCUCGUGUCGUGAGAUGUUGGGUUAAGUCCCGCAACGAGCGCAACCCUUAAGCUUAGUUGCCAUCAUUAAGUUGGGCACUCUAAGUUGACUGCCGGUGACAAACCGGAGGACGGUGGGGAUGACGUCAAAUCAUCAUGCCCCUUAUGAUUUGGGCUACACACGUGCUACAAUGGACAAUACAAAGGGCAGCGAAACCGCGAGGUCAAGCAAAUCCCAUAAAGUUGUUCUCAGUUCGGAUUGUAGUCUGCAACUCGACUACAUGAAGCUGGAAUCGCUAGUAAUCGUAGAUCAGCAUGCUACGGUGAAUACGUUCCCGGGUCU
Molecule: ribosomal RNA, 1372 nt
Filed under: uncultured bacterium
Lineage: Bacteria
Description: bacterial SSU rRNA
Rfam family: Bacterial small subunit ribosomal RNA
Source: RNAcentral